GACGAACCGUGCAAACGUUGUUCGGAAUCACUGGGCUUAAAGGGCGCGUAGGCGGGCAACUAAGUCGGAUGUGAAAUCCCCAGGCUUAACCUGGGAACUGCAUCCGAUACUGGAUGGCUUGAAUCCGGGAGAGGGAUGCAGAAUUCCAGGUGUAGCGGUGAAAUGCGUAGAUAUCUGGAGGAAUACCGGUGGCGAAGGCGGCAUCCUGGACCGGCAUUGACGCUGAUGAGCGAAAGCUAGGGGAGCAAACGGG
This 253-nucleotide ribosomal RNA is filed under the name uncultured bacterium. RNAcentral describes it as "partial 16S ribosomal RNA". It matches the Rfam family "Bacterial small subunit ribosomal RNA", at positions 524 to 776 of the family's 1533-position model. The record is from RNAcentral.